Molecule: ribosomal RNA, 254 nt
Filed under: uncultured bacterium
Lineage: Bacteria
Description: partial 16S ribosomal RNA
Rfam family: Bacterial small subunit ribosomal RNA
Source: RNAcentral
UACGAAGGGUGCUAGCGUUGUUCGGAAUCACUGGGCGUAAAGCGUACGUAGGCUGUUUAGUAAGUCGAUUGUGAAAUCCCAGGGCUUAACCCUGUGAACUGCAACCGAAACUGCUUUGCUAGAAUAUGGUGGGGGAUAGUGGAAUUCCUAGUGUAGGGGUGAAAUCCGUAGAUAUUAGGAGGAAUACCGGUGGCGAAAGCGACUAUCUACGCCAUUAUUGACGCUGAGGUACGAAAGCGUGGGGAGCAAACAGG